Molecule: ribosomal RNA, 1345 nt
Filed under: uncultured bacterium
Lineage: Bacteria
Description: 16S ribosomal RNA
Rfam family: Bacterial small subunit ribosomal RNA
Source: RNAcentral
GACGAACGCUGGCGGCUGUGCUUAACACAUGCAAGUCGAACGGAAAGGCCCUGCUUUUGUGGGGUGCUCGAGUGGCGAACGGGUGAGUAACACGUGAGUAACCUGCCCUUGACUUUGGGAUAACUUCAGGAAACUGGGGCUAAUACCGGAUAGGAGCUCCUGCUGCAUGGUGGGGGUUGGAAAGUUUCGGCGGUUGGGGAUGGACUCGCGGCUUAUCAGCUUGUUGGUGGGGUAGUGGCUUACCAAGGCUUUGACGGGUAGCCGGCCUGAGAGGGUGACCGGCCACAUUGGGACUGAGAUACGGCCCAUACUCCUACGGGAGGCAGCAGUGGGGAAUAUUGCACAAUGGGCGGAAGCCUGAUGCAGCAACGCCGCGUGCGGGAUGACGGCCUUCGGGUUGUAAACCGCUUUCGCCUGUGACGAAGCGUGAGUGACGGUAAUGGGUAAAGAAGCGCCGGCUAACUACGUGCCAGCAGCCGCGGUGAUACGUAGGGUGCGAGCGUUGUCCGGAUUUAUUGGGCGUAAAGGGCUCGUAGGUGGUUGAUCGCGUCGGAAGUUGUAAUCUUGGGGCUUAACCCUGAGCGUGCUUUCGAUACGGGUUGACUUGAGGAAGGUAGGGGAGAAUGGAAUUCCUGGUGGAGCGGUGGAAUGCGCAGAUAUCAGGAGGAACACCAGUGGCGAAGGCGGUUCUCUGGGCCUUUCCUGACGCUGAGGAGCGAAAGCGUGGGGAGCGAACAGGCUUAGAUACCCUGGUAGUCCACGCUGUAAACGGUGGGUACUAGGUGUGGGGUCCAUUCCACGGGUUCCGUGCCGUAGCUAACGCUUUAAGUACCCCGCCUGGGGAGUACGGCCGCAAGGCUAAAACUCAAAGGAAUUGACGGGGCCCCGCACAAGCGGCGGAGCAUGCGGAUUAAUUCGAUGCAACGCGUAGAACCUUACCUGGGUUUGACAUGGAUCGGGAGUGCUCAGAGAUGGGUGUGCCUCUUUUGGGGUCGGUUCACAGGUGGUGCAUGGCUGUCGUCAGCUCGUGUCGUGAGAUGUUGGGUUAAGUCCCGCAACGAGCGCAACCCUUGUUCACUGUUGCCAGCACGUUAUGGUGGGGACUCAGUGGAGACCGCCGGGGUCAACUCGGAGGAAGGUGGGGAUGACGUCAAGUCAUCAUGCCCCUUAUGUCCAGGGCUUCACGCAUGCUACAAUGGCUGGUACAGAGAGUGGCGAGCCUGUGAGGGUGAGCGAAUCUCGGAAAGCCGGUCUCAGUUCGGAUUGGGGUCUGCAACUCGACCUCAUGAAGUCGGAGUCGCUAGUAAUCGCAGAUCAGCAACGCUGCGGUGAAUACGUUCCCGGG